This 526-nucleotide ribosomal RNA is filed under the name Alloscardovia omnicolens. Its description in RNAcentral is "bacterial SSU rRNA". It matches the Rfam family "Bacterial small subunit ribosomal RNA", at positions 158 to 697 of the family's 1533-position model. The record is from RNAcentral. Lineage: Bacteria; Bacillati; Actinomycetota; Actinomycetes; Bifidobacteriales; Bifidobacteriaceae.
GGGUGGUAAUGCCGAAUGUUCCACAUGCUCGCAUGGGUGUGUGGGAAAACGUUUUAGUGCUAUGCGAUGGGAUCGCGUCCUAUCAGCUUGUUGGUGGGGUAGUGGCCUACCAAGGCUUCGACGGGUAGCCGGCCUGAGAGGGCGACCGGCCACAUUGGGACUGAGAUACGGCCCAGACUCCUACGGGAGGCAGCAGUGGGGAAUAUUGCACAAUGGGGGGAACCCUGAUGCAGCGACGCCGCGUGCGGGAUGACGGCCUUCGGGUUGUAAACCGCUUUUAUUGGGGAGCAAGCGUGAGUGAGUGUACCUUUUGAAUAAGCACCGGCUAACUACGUGCCAGCAGCCGCGGUAAUACGUAGGGUGCAAGCGUUGUCCGGAAUUAUUGGGCGUAAAGAGCUCGUAGGCGGUUUGUCGCGUCUGGUGUGAAAGUCCAUCGCUUAACGGUGGAUUGGCGCUGGGUACGGGCAGGCUAGAGUGUAGUAGGGGAGACUGGAAUUCUCGGUGUAACGGUGGAAUGUGUAGAUAU